This 7465-nucleotide long non-coding RNA is filed under the name Citrus sinensis (sweet orange). RNAcentral's name for it is "long non-coding RNA (CSIN_LNC002384)". The record is from RNAcentral. Lineage: Eukaryota; Viridiplantae; Streptophyta; Magnoliopsida; Sapindales; Rutaceae.
UCAAACUUGAUCAAUAGCUUUAGAUUAUUUUCGAAUCUAGGCGCCCUAGGAUUUUGGGGGGGCCAUGUACGUUAAUAGUAAAUGUCUUAUGUGUUAGCAUACAAUAAUCACAAUUCAAUCCGCGGGAAAGAAACCACCCAAUUGGGCAAUGAAGAACCAUCAACUAACACGAGAACCUGCGACACAAUUACAAAUUUGCUACAAGAUCGUUUUUUUAAGCUCUCGUGUCUUUCAAAGUCGUGCAUUUGCACAUAAUAGCGAAUCCGAUACCUUCUUGAUCUUUAUUUGAAGUCGUCAUAGACACACGUUCAUUAAGCUACUUGUUUUAAUUGCACUGUCAAUUCUCGCAUCUAAUUCUCCCUUGAGUGUUGAUAAACUAACAAGCGUCAACUUAUUUAAUUGCUCGUUAAUUUCCAAAUCUGCUUUCAUUUUUUUUUUUUUCCAAAUUGCACUGUCGUUUUACAUAAAGCCAAAUUGCACUGUCGUUUUACAUAAAGCGUCAACUUAUUUAAUUGCUCGUUAAUUUCCAAAUCUGCUUUCAUUUUUUUUUUUUUCCAAAUUGCACUGUCGUUUUACAUAAAGUGUCGUUUCGUUCUGAUUCUGCACAUGAGAAUUGCUUACAAUAGAUAGUAUGUGAUUGGAGAAAUUAGGUUUUGAUAGGGGUAAGUUAAAGAUGAUUUCAUGGGGCGGCAUCAGCUGCUGCUUGAGUGGAGCUGCUCUUUAUCUGCUCGGCCGGAGCAGUGGCAGGUCACAACUCCCUAAUUUCUCUUCCUUUUUCUUUUUUGGCAUUAAAAGAUUAGGUAUAUAGAAACAUGAAUUUCAUGUAAUUUUAUUUGUUUGUUAAAUUUUGUGUGUUUUGGUUUGUUGCAGAGAUGCGGAGCUUCUUAAGACAGUCACGCGUGUCAAUCAACUCGAGGAGUUGGGUAUGUGAAGGUCCAAUUGUUAUUUUGGUUUUGAUGGGCUUAAAUGCUCGCCUGCCUGCUUGCAGAUUGUUAGUUUUUUGUUUGGUUUGGAUGUUGACACAAAAGAUGUUCUGUAGACAUAUUUACAACAUAAUUAGGCAAUAUGGAUGUAUUUGUAUUUGUAUUUCCCUAUGCGUAAUGUUAAUGACUUAGACUUGAUGCUAUGACUGAAUUUUGUGAAAGGAACAUAUAAGUCUGGUUGUAUACUCGUUCUUUCUAUUUCCACCUGUGAAUACUGAUUUGUUGAUAUUGCGUGAUCGAAUUCUGAUAAAGUUGUUGGAAUAGUUAUCCACCUUGAAACAUUUAAAACUUAUACCCUGAUUGGCAACUGGGUUGAUUGUUAUGUUGAAAAAUGAGCUAGGGGACAUUAGUGCAAAUGUCUGUUGAAGUUCAUAUUGCAGGCGUAGUGCAGACAACUUAGGUUACAUGUGGAACAUAUGUUGGUUGCCGAUUUAGUUUGUUGCUGAUGGCAUUGUUGAUGCUGCAAUAUCUUUCCCAAAGAAUAAGGUUUUCUCUUCUUUCACCUUUCAGCACACUUAUUGGAUGGUGGAAGUAAAGUUUUGCCAUCCAUUGUUUCGGUCUCUGGAAGAGUUGGCUCUGAAACACCAAUUAGCUGUGAAUAUAGUGGGUUGAGAGGCGUGAUUGUUGAGGAAACGGUGGAACUUAAUUUCUUUUUUUUCAAUUACGAGCAUAAAUUGCAUUAUUUAUCAACGUUCCUUUUUGUAUGAAUACAUAAACAUUCUUGUCCUUUGGUUCUUCAGACUGAACGACACUUUCUGAAACACAAUGAUGCCGGGUCUUGGAUCCAAGAUUCUGCAUUAAUGUUGUCAAUGAGCAAGGAGGUUCCAUGGUAUCUAGUGAGACUCCCUCUCUAUCUCUCUGUCUAACCUGCUUGUUUAGUCAGUAAAUCCACUGUAAAUAUUGCUUUUGAUGGUUCGAUGAAACUGCUUAUUUGAAAGCCAAAAGUGAAGGUUUAUGAUUACUAUUGUAUCAUAUAUAAACUCCAAUGCUGGAUUCGAGGGGAUUCAUUGAUGAUUUCUUUUGCACUUAUCAGGAUGAUGGGACUGGCUGUGUGUUUGUAGUGGGAGCCCGUGGUGCCACAGGUUUUGCAUUGACUGUUGGAAGUGAAGUUUUUGAAGAGUCAGGAAGAUCACUUGUACAUGGAACAUUAGACUACCUCCAAGGCCUCAAGGUUUUUGUUCUUCAACUUUUUCAUUAUACGAGAACACCCACAUUGUUCUUGCUUGGCUUAUUUGAUGGGAGUUUAUGAUUUUAGAUGCUUGGAGUCAAGCGUAUUGGACGGCUACUCCCAACUGGUACUUCGUUGACUGUAGUUGGAGAGGUAUGGCUUACUUUAGUGAAUAAAAUAAUAUGGCAUCUUGUCUUUUUGUAUACAAUGCGAUUGAACAUUAUCAGAUUUAACUUUUGAGAUAGAUAUACUGCUAAAAUAACAAGGUCUACUAGAUGAAGAUGUAUUGAAAGUAAUUGCCUUUAGUAAUACGCAUGACAAAGGGAAAAAAUAAAUAAAUAAAAGGGAAGAUAACAUUGCUUGGAAUCCAGAAUGUGGGUCUCUGCAAGUCAAUUCUGAUUGUCGAAGAAUGAAUUUUGCAUGAAUAGGAAUACGAAUUCUUUAUAGCAGCACAAUUGACCUUGUUGUUAGUUUGUGGGUGGAAAACCAUUACACUUGCUCCAGCCAAUGAGUUUUGUAUUGUCAUAGUGCAACAUUUUGUCAAUGUUUAAUAUGUAGUCCGCUUCCAAUUUCUGUUGAUUUAAUGUGAGCCAUUUUUCCUGUGUUCAUCAUAUGUGUUUGCCAAUGAUUAUGCUAAGUUAUUUACUUGCAUCUGCUUUUGUUAUUUUAAUUUGCAAUCAGGCUGUGAAAGACGAUAUUGGAACAGUUAGGAUUCAGCGACCACACAAAGGGCCUUUUUAUGUAUCUCCCAAAACAAUUGAUGAGCUCCUUGAAAACCUUGGGAAAUGGGCGAGGUUGUUUAUAACACAAGCACACAAUGAUUGCUCCUUUUUUCACACAAAUUCACAAGUUUGAAUCCAUUAGAAUAAUAGAGAGAAAGAAACUAAUGAGAUGUAUCUACCAGGUGGUACAAGUAUGCCUCUUUUGGUUUAACAAUCUUCGGCGCUUUCUUGAUUGCUAAGCGUGUUAUUCGUUGUAUCUUGCAAAGAAAGCGACGUUGGGAAUUACGUAGACGGUAUGCUUAAUUGAUCAUUACGCAGAACAGAAUACAAACAGUCAACAUACAUGCAUAACGAGAUUCUGUAUGUAGCCACCAGUGAUAAACCUGUGUCAUUGAACAUAAGUAUUUACAUGCAAGUUGAAAGUGAAAUCAUGGUUGGCCAAUUCUUUUGCCAAAAAUUCAUCAUGAUAUUAUUUCAUCAGUAACACAGAUAGUUCUUAUUUUUUCAUGAUAAACUGAAUUGUAAAGCUCUGUCCAUGUAGGGUUCUUGCUGCAGCAGCAGUCCAGAGAUCAGAGCAAGAUAAUGAAGGUAAAUUGUCUGGUUAGUUACAUAGUUGUUGUUAUAAAAGAACAAAUAAAAUAGAUAUGAUCUAGUCUCACAAUGUUGCAUUUAUUUUUCAGGCACAAAUGGGCAAGCUGAGAAUGGAUCAGAUAGUACUCAAAGAGAUCGUGUGAUGCCAGAUCUAUGUGUGAUAUGCCUUGAGCAAGAGUACAAUGCUGUUUUUUUCCCGUACGCACACUCGCUCUCUAUUAUUUGAUUUGUACAGACUGUCGAAUAACUGUGAGAAAAAGACUAUAAAUCGACAGUCUGUAUAAAUCGCAUUUUGAGUUUCGACUUAUGCAGCUUUGGAAUUGAACAAAUUGCCUGCUGCUUAUGUUCUGUAGGUGUGGUCAUCUGUGCUGUUGCCUUAUAUGCUCUUCGCGCUUGACAAACUGUCCUCUUUGUCGGAGACGGAUCGAUCAGGUGGUGAGGACUUUCCGGCAUUGAGGAUUUGCAUGCUUCUGAUAUAUUUGUAGCAACUGUACUGCUAAGAAAUGUGCGGAUGUUCAGGAUCUUAAUUUUUUAGCCAUUUAUGAUUUUGAGGGUGUAAAAUUCUCCUCAUGAUUGCAGUAACUUAACAUGGUAACAUGUUGUGUAAGAGCAUCUCCAAAAGGCCGUAUUCAUUUUACUCUUUAAAUAUCUAUUUACUUACUUAUGUGGUAAAAAGAAGAGUAAAAUAAUAUAUUAUUUUUCAAAAAACUCUUCAAAUAUAAAUAAGUUAAUAUUAUUUUAUCAAAUAAAUAUUUUUUCAAAGGAAAAAUAAAUAGUAAUUAAAAUAUUUUUCUUUCUCUAAUAAAAAGUAAUAAAAUAUAAAUUGAAGAGAGAAAAAGUAACUCUACAAAAUUAAAGAGGGAGAAUCAUUUUUUAUUUUAAAAAUCUUAAUUAGAGUAUCUUUUAAAAUUUUAAAUGUUGAUGUAUCUCUUCAAAUAAGUAAUAAAAUCUUUGAAGAGAUUUUUGGAAAUGUUCUAACUCCUCACUUCUCAACGGUCUAUGUAAAUGUUUAGAGCAGAGAAGAAUGAAUUUAUACGUGGUUGCAGUUAAAUUUAUUUUUAAGUAUAUUGGUACUUGAGUUCCUUUUUCAUUUGUUCAUCAUGUUUAUUUAUCUAUGUAUAUUCUUCUACAAUAUCUAUGCGUUGAAUUUAUUAGGGUAGAUUGUCAAUUUUCCCCCUAUAGUAAUUAACAUAUACCAUUUUCCUCCUUACUGUUUUCAUAAUGGCCAAAAACCCCCUGACGGCAUAAGUUUACAAUAUUACCCUUAUUUUCAAUUAUUUUUUAUUUUUAUUUAUUAUAAAUUAAAUAAAUUACAUGAAUAGAAACAAAAUGAAAAAUUAAACAUGAAAAACAAGAAAUAUAUGUUUUGAUAUGACCAAAAAAAUUAAUAAUGAAUUUUUUUUCUUGUACUUAUUUAUUUUGUAAAAAUUUUCUUAUAAUAAAUAUAUAAGAAAAUUAUUAUAAAAUGAUAAAAAAAUUAUUAUAAGAAAACUUGAAUGACAAAUAAAAAUUUAUUAUAAGAUAAAUAAUAAAAUAUUUUGCCUAUACUUUUUACAUUUAAUUUUAAAAAGAAAAUGUUCAAAAAAUAAAUAAUUACAAGAAAAAAAAUUAUUAUUUUUUUGCUCAUAUCAAAACAUACAUUUCUUAUUUUUAAUACUUAAUUUUUUUAUUUAGUUUCUAUUCAUGUAAUUUAUUUAAUUUAUAAUAAAUAUAAAUAAAAGAGUAGUUAAAAAUAAGGGUAAUAUUAUAAACUUAUGCUGUUAUAAAGGUUUUUGGCCAUUAUAAAAAUAACAAAAAAAUAAAUAAUAUAUGUUAAUUACAGUGGGAGGAAAAGUGACAAUCUCCUAAUUUAUUAGUGUGUAUUAGACCAUCUAUUCCGCCUGCCAUUCAUCGGAAAUUAAGUUUCCAUAAAUUAAUAAUUAUGGCAGUGGCUAAGGCCUAGUCCUACAGGCUAGGGGUGGUGCCCCAGGCUUAUGUGAAUGAUGACACAAACCAUUUAUAAGCUAACAGCAAUAAAGGAAAUUUGUUUUUCUUGGUAUAAAUGAAUGAAUUAAUUAACAAAAGCGAGGAGAAGCGAAUGUGGAUAGGAAAGGAAAAAAAAUAAAGAAAGAAGAUCACAUGGUUAAAUGUCACAUUAAAUAAUAAAUUUUUUCCCUCAUGUUCUCACCACCCUCUCUCUUUUAGAUUCCUUUAACCAAACACGUAUUCAGUUUCACACUUUUCGCCUAAAAUAUGGGUUGAGACGUGUCAAACUUUUAUCAAUAGCUUUAGAUUAUUUUCGAAUCCAGGCGCCUCAGGAUUUAGGGGGGCAUAUACUUCAACAGUAAAUGUUUCAUAUGUUAGCUUAUAAUAAUAACAAUUCAAUCGGCGGGAAGGAAACUACCCAAUUGGGCAAUGAAACAUUAACAAACACGAGAAUCUGCGGCACACAAUUACAAAAUUUGCCACAAAACCCUUUUUUUUAAGCUCUCGUGUCUUUAAGUUCAUCAAGAAGUCGUGUGUUUGCACAUAUUAGUGAAUCUGAUACCUUCUUAAUCUUUAUUUGUCAUAGACAUACGUAUACUAAGCUACUUGUUUUGUGUCGUAUUGAAUUGUGUAUAACAGCUAGACACUAGUAAAAUAUUGGUAAUCAAGAUUCCGGUUUCCAGACUUCGAAGAUCAAAAAGGACAGAAGAAAAAGGCGAGGGAAUAUGAUCCCAAACCAUCACAUCAUUUUGAAAAAAUGGGAAAGUUUAUCGCUUUACCCAUAAGAAACGAGUGUCAUGGAAUCUAAGGCCGAAGCUUCGGCAGAUCAUCAAUGAGAAGAGAACCGUGCCAUUUGAUGUGCAUUAUAAAUUUCACCUAACUCUUGAAUUAUAUCUUCAGACUGGUGCAAUUGUAAAUCACUACUUGUUAAGCCUCAUCACAAUCAGCAAAUCAGCUUCUACGUAUUUUCAACUUAUUCGGUGAUAUCAAUGGAAAACAAACGCAGCAGCGGCCCAGUUGGUGCAUGUGAGAAAUUCUUCAAAGCAAUUGCUGCUAAUUCUCCUUUCAGGCCAAGCCGCCGCAUCUCAAGUCAUCAUCGCCCCCAAGAUUCCAAGCCUUCCAAUCCUUCGGCCAAAACUCAUCAUCACCAGACUCAGAAACAUCCCAAGCCAGUAGUAGCCCCAGCUGAAGUUGUUCCCAUCAAGUUUGAAUAUUCAGCUCCUGAUCCAUAUGCCAAGUCAGCAGCAACAACAUCACAGUUACCGGUUGCGCCGAAUAAUGGCAAAGUGGCCAGUGGACCUGCACCAAACAAAAACAUGCAACCUCCUGUAUCACAAUUUGUUCAAGCCAAAAAUAUUGCGUCCAAGCAUAAGCCCGAGGCAGCUGCUGCUCAAGAAAAGAGGCACAAGGCCACCACUGGCCGCAGGAUGGAAAGCAGUAACAACAAAACGAAUGCGAAUAGUAUUAUUGACGAAGAUGAAGAUGUAUUUAGCAAAUACAUCAAACGUGCAGGGAUAAAGAUUAGAGCUCCGUCAAGUGUUGGAGGUGACGGAAAGAUUAAUGCACCGUCAGCAAGAGGGGGAGAAGGCACGGCGGGCAAAGAUCAUUUCUCGGAUUAUAUCAACCGUGCUAAGCAGAAGAUGAUCAGGACUAUGUCAAGCUUUGCUGGUGCAGGGACUGACUCCAACAAAUGAAAUCUUUUCAAUGCCUCUGCAUUAUAAGCUCUGAUGGGGUGCCGCCUCUUCUGUCACAAUAUUACCUGAAAUUAAGGUUUCAUGAAUAAUGGGGGUUUGUGUUGCUUUGAUAAUAUUUGCCAAUUAUAUUGCUAUUAAUUUCAUCUUCUUGUGUUAUGCUGUUUAUUACUUCAUUGUAUUAAUAUCUUGUGAGGGUCUAUCAUCCCACUUGAUUUCUGGGAUUGAUCAUGUCAAAUAAAAUUAUAUUGUUUGUGCAUCUUUUAUUUUCUCAUAAUCAAAGUACAUGAAUAUAUAUAUAUAUAUAUAAAUUUGGAUGAACUGAUGAAUCAUAUUUAAAUCCAC